GCCCGCUCAGAAACUCAAAGGAAUUGACGGGGCCCGCACAAGCGGAGGAGCAUGUGGUUUAAUUCGAUGAUACGCGAGGAACCUUACCUGGGCUCGAACGUAAGAUGACUGUAGGUGAAAGCUUACAUCUCUUCGGAGCAUUUUACGAGGUGCUGCAUGGUUGUCGUCAGCUCGUGCCGUGAGGUGUCGGGUUAAGUCCCAUAACGAGCGCAACCCCUACCUUUAGUUGCCAUCAGGUUAAGCUGGGGACUCUAAAGGAACUGCCUACGCAAGUAGUGAGGAAGCGGGGAUGACGUCAAAUCAGCACGGCCCUUACGUCCAGGGCUACACACGUGCUACAAUGGCCGAUACAGAGGGCAGCUACCUGGUGACAGGAUGCAAAUCUCCAAAGUCGGUCUCAGUUCGGAUCGGAGUCUGCAACCCGACUCCGUGAAGUUGGAUUCGCUAGUAAUUGCGCAUCAGCCAUGGCGCGGUGAAUACGUUCCCGGGCCUU
RNAcentral lists this ribosomal RNA (493 nucleotides) under uncultured Sphingobacteriales bacterium. RNAcentral's name for it is "bacterial SSU rRNA". It matches the Rfam family "Bacterial small subunit ribosomal RNA", at positions 887 to 1382 of the family's 1533-position model. The record is from RNAcentral. Lineage: Bacteria; Pseudomonadati; Bacteroidota; Sphingobacteriia; Sphingobacteriales.